UACGUAGGAGGCAAGCGUUGUCCGGAAUUACUGGGCGUAAAGCGCGUGUAGGUGGUGGGGCAAGUCUGCUGUGAAAGCGCCCGGCUCAACUGGGCGGGGUCGGCGGAUACGGCGUGGCUGGAGCAAGCUAGGGGGCAAUGGAAUUCCCGGUGUAGUGGUGGAAUGCGUAGAUAUCGGGAGGAACACCAGUGGCGAAGGCGGUUGCCUGGAGCUUUGCUGACGCUGAGGCGCGAAAGCGUGGGGAGCGAUCCGG
RNAcentral lists this ribosomal RNA (253 nucleotides) under uncultured bacterium. Its description in RNAcentral is "partial 16S ribosomal RNA". It matches the Rfam family "Bacterial small subunit ribosomal RNA", at positions 524 to 776 of the family's 1533-position model. The record is from RNAcentral.